RNAcentral lists this transfer RNA (75 nucleotides) under Crassvirales sp. RNAcentral's name for it is "tRNA-Tyr". It matches the Rfam family "tRNA". From Rfam's summary of the family: Transfer RNA (tRNA) molecules are approximately 80 nucleotides in length. Lineage: Duplodnaviria; Heunggongvirae; Uroviricota; Caudoviricetes; Crassvirales. The record is from RNAcentral.
UAGCCAAGUGGUUAAGGCACUGGUCUGUAAAACCAGCACUUUGAUACUCAAUAGGUUCGAAUCCUAUUACUCCCA